RNAcentral lists this ribosomal RNA (825 nucleotides) under Escherichia coli. RNAcentral describes it as "partial 23S ribosomal RNA". It matches the Rfam family "Bacterial large subunit ribosomal RNA", at positions 403 to 1230 of the family's 2925-position model. Lineage: Bacteria; Pseudomonadati; Pseudomonadota; Gammaproteobacteria; Enterobacterales; Enterobacteriaceae. The record is from RNAcentral.
GCUCGAUGAGUAGGGCGGGACACGUGGUAUCCUGUCUGAAUAUGGGGGGACCAUCCUCCAAGGCUAAAUACUCCUGACUGACCGAUAGUGAACCAGUACCGUGAGGGAAAGGCGAAAAGAACCCCGGCGAGGGGAGUGAAAAAGAACCUGAAACCGUGUACGUACAAGCAGUGGGAGCCUCUUUAUGGGGUGACUGCGUACCUUUUGUAUAAUGGGUCAGCGACUUAUAUUCUGUAGCAAGGUUAACCGAAUAGGGGAGCCGAAGGGAAACCGAGUCUUAACUGGGCGUUAAGUUGCAGGGUAUAGACCCGAAACCCGGUGAUCUAGCCAUGGGCAGGUUGAAGGUUGGGUAACACUAACUGGAGGACCGAACCGACUAAUGUUGAAAAAUUAGCGGAUGACUUGUGGCUGGGGGUGAAAGGCCAAUCAAACCGGGAGAUAGCUGGUUCUCCCCGAAAGCUAUUUAGGUAGCGCCUCGUGAAUUCAUCUCCGGGGGUAGAGCACUGUUUCGGCAAGGGGGUCAUCCCGACUUACCAACCCGAUGCAAACUGCGAAUACCGGAGAAUGUUAUCACGGGAGACACACGGCGGGUGCUAACGUCCGUCGUGAAGAGGGAAACAACCCAGACCGCCAGCUAAGGUCCCAAAGUCAUGGUUAAGUGGGAAACGAUGUGGGAAGGCCCAGACAGCCAGGAUGUUGGCUUAGAAGCAGCCAUCAUUUAAAGAAAGCGUAAUAGCUCACUGGUCGAGUCGGCCUGCGCGGAAGAUGUAACGGGGCUAAACCAUGCACCGAAGCUGCGGCAGCGACACUAUGUGUUGUUGGGUA